UCCGGUUGAUCCUGCCGGAGGCUACCGCUAUUGGAGUUCGAUUAAGCCAUGCGAGUCGCGAGUCUUAGGGACUCGGCGUACCGCUCAGUAACACGUGGGUAACCUGCCCUAUGCUGGGGGAUAACCUCGGGAAACUGAGAAUAAUACCCCAUAGUUCACCACGCCUGGAACGGUGGGUGGACCAAAGCUCCGGCGGCAUAGGAUGGGCCUGCGGCGUAUCAGGUUGUAGGGGGUGUAAUGUACCCUCUAGCCCUCUACGCGUACGGGCUCUGAGAGGAGAAGCCCGGAGAUGGGUACUGAGACACGGACCCAGGCCCUAUGGGGCGCAGCAGGCGAGAAAACUUUGCAAUGUGCGAAAGCACGACAAGGUUAAUCCGAGUGAUUUCUGCUAAAGAAAUCUUUUGCCAGUCAUAAAACCACUGGUGAAUAAGGGGUGGGCAAGUUCUGGUGUCAGCCGCCGCGGUAAAACCAGCACCUCAAGUGGUCAGGAUGAUUAUUGGGCCUAAAGCAUCCGUAGCCGGCUUUGUUAGUUUUCGGUUAAAUCCAUGUGCUCAACGCAUGGGCUGCCGAAAAUACUGCAUGGCUAGGGAGUGGGAGAGGUAGACGGUACUCAGUAGGAAGGGGUAAAAUCCUUUGAUCUAUUGAUGACCACCUGUGGCGAAGGCGGUCUACCAGAACACGUUCGACGGUGAGGGAUGAAAGCUGGGGGAGCAAACCGGAUUAGAUACCCGGGUAGUCCCAGCUGUAAACGAUGCAGACUCGAUGAUGCAUUGGCAUAAUAGCCAGUGCAGUGUCGCAGGGAAGCCGUUAAGUCUGCCGCCUGGGAAGUACGUACGCAAGUAUGAAACUUAAAGGAAUUGGCGGGGGAGCACCACAAGGGGUGAAGCCUGCGGUUCAAUUGGAGUCAACGCCGGA
RNAcentral lists this ribosomal RNA (915 nucleotides) under uncultured marine archaeon. Its description in RNAcentral is "bacterial SSU rRNA". It matches the Rfam family "Archaeal small subunit ribosomal RNA", at positions 1 to 922 of the family's 1478-position model. The record is from RNAcentral.